AACGUAGGGGUCGAGCGUUAUCCGGAAUUACUGGGCGUAAAGCGCGUGCAGGCGGCUGAGGAAGUCGGACGUGAAAGCUCCUGGCUCAACUGGGAGAGGCCGUUCGAAACUCCUUGGCUAGAGGACGGUAGAGGCGAGUGGAAUUCCCGGUGUAGUGGUGAAAUGCGUAGAUAUCGGGAGGAACACCAGAGGCGAAAGCGGCUCGCUGGGCCGGUUCUGACGCUGAGACGCGAAAGCUAGGGGAGAGAACGGGAUUAGAAACCCCGGUAUUCCUAGCCGUAAACGAUGUCAACUAGGUGUAGGGGGUGUAGAAGCCUUCUGCGCUGCCGCCAACGCAGUAAGUUGACCGCCUGGGGAGUACGGCCGCAAGGCUAAA
Molecule: ribosomal RNA, 376 nt
Filed under: uncultured bacterium
Lineage: Bacteria
Description: bacterial SSU rRNA
Rfam family: Bacterial small subunit ribosomal RNA
Source: RNAcentral